Pseudomyrmex gracilis is the source of this 337-nucleotide long non-coding RNA. RefSeq lists it as uncharacterized. NCBI's taxonomy places the organism in Eukaryota, Metazoa, Arthropoda, Insecta, Hymenoptera, Formicidae. The record is from RefSeq and is a predicted model, not a curated record. The transcript is spliced from 2 exons.
UGGCGUUAGUCUGCGCACAACGCGUGUCGUGCUCUUCCGCUUUUGAACCUCCGCGUGCUCGUUCACUUAGUCUCUUUGUGAUUUUCUUACGCGUUCGUUGUCUUUUUCCGCCUCGCUCUUGUGUCACGGGAAUGAAAGCGUCGCACGCGUUGCUCCGCGAAGUCUUUAAGCGAGCACAGUAAAACGACACCGACGAUAUAUAGAGAUAUCGAUCGAUAUGGAUCAAUCGAUAUCGCACGUCGGAGAAAAAAUUGCAAGUGUGAACACCGUUCACGUGACACGUAAUAUAAUUAUACUAUUGUUCACGGAACAGUGAGAAACUUGUGCGAAAAAAAAA